GAUGAACGCUGGCGGCGUGCCUAAUACAUGCAAGUCGAGCGAACAGACGAGGAGCUUGCUCCUCUGACGUUAGCGGCGGACGGGUGAGUAACACGUGGAUAACCUACCUAUAAGACUGGGAUAACUUCGGGAAACCGGAGCUAAUACCGGAUAAUAUAUUGAACCGCAUGGUUCAAUAGUGAAAGACGGUUUUGCUGUCACUUAUAGAUGGAUCCGCGCCGCAUUAGCUAGUUGGUAAGGUAACGGCUUACCAAGGCGACGAUGCGUAGCCGACCUGAGAGGGUGAUCGGCCACACUGGAACUGAGACACGGUCCAGACUCCUACGGGAGGCAGCAGUAGGGAAUCGUCCGCAAUGGGCGAAAGCCUGACGGAGCAACGCCGCGUGAGUGAUGACGGUCUUCGGAUCGUAAAGCUCUGUUAUUGGGGAAGAACAAAUGUGUAAGUAACUAUGCACGUCUUGACGGUACCUAAUCAGAAAGCCACGGCUAACUACGUG
This 497-nucleotide ribosomal RNA is filed under the name uncultured bacterium. Its description in RNAcentral is "partial 16S ribosomal RNA". It matches the Rfam family "Bacterial small subunit ribosomal RNA", at positions 28 to 507 of the family's 1533-position model. The record is from RNAcentral.